Molecule: ribosomal RNA, 486 nt
Filed under: uncultured bacterium
Lineage: Bacteria
Description: bacterial SSU rRNA
Rfam family: Bacterial small subunit ribosomal RNA
Source: RNAcentral
CUGGCUCAGAACGAACGCUGGUGGCGUGUCUAUACAUGCAAGUCGAGCGAGGCAGCAAUGCCGAGCGGCGAACGGGUGAGUAACGCGUAAGCAAUCUGCCCCAUAUCAGGAAAUACCCGUGCCAACGCGCGGUUAAUGUCCAGGAGAGUGGCCCUCUGCAUGGAGGGUUGACUAGAGAUUUAUCGGUAUGGGAUGAGCUUGCGUCCGAUUAGCUAGUUGGCGGGGCAACGGCCCACCAAGGCGACGAUCGGUAGCCGGCCUGAGAGGGUGAUCGGCCACAUUGGGACUGAGAUACGGCCCAGACUCCUACGGGAGGCAGCAGUAGGGAAUAUUGCACAAUGGGGGAAACCCUGAUGCAGCAACGCCACGUGUGGGAAGAAGCAUUUCGGUGUGUAAACCACUGUCAUGAGGGAAUAAGGCCCGCCUUCGGACGGGAUUGAAUGUACCUUGAGAGGAAGCACCGGCAAACUUCGUGCCAGCCGCGGC